This 77-nucleotide transfer RNA is filed under the name Deltaproteobacteria bacterium. RNAcentral's name for it is "tRNA-Arg". It matches the Rfam family "tRNA". Rfam says of the family: Transfer RNA (tRNA) molecules are approximately 80 nucleotides in length. Their secondary structure includes four short double-helical elements and three loops (D, anti-codon, and T loops). Further hydrogen bonds mediate the characteristic L-shaped molecular structure. tRNAs have two regions of fundamental functional importance: the anti-codon, which is responsible for specific mRNA codon recognition, and the 3' end, to which the tRNAs corresponding amino acid is attached (by aminoacyl-tRNA synthetases). tRNAs cope with the degeneracy of the genetic code in two manners: having more than one tRNA (with a specific anti-codon) for a particular amino acid; and 'wobble' base-pairing, i.e. permitting non-standard base-pairing at the 3rd anti-codon position. The record is from RNAcentral. Lineage: Bacteria; Pseudomonadati; Myxococcota; Myxococcia. RNAcentral also lists the same sequence under 3 other names.
GGCCCCGUAGCUCAGCUGGAUAGAGCGGCACCCUCCUAAGGUGAUUGUCGGAGGUUCGAAUCCUCCCGGGGUCGCCA